Molecule: ribosomal RNA, 252 nt
Filed under: uncultured bacterium
Lineage: Bacteria
Description: partial 16S ribosomal RNA
Rfam family: Bacterial small subunit ribosomal RNA
Source: RNAcentral
UACGUAGGUCCCGAGCGUUGUCCGGAUUUAUUGGGCAUAAAGCGAGCGCAGGUGGUUUAUUAAGUCUGGUGUAAAAGGCAGUGGCUCAACCAUUGUAUGCAUUGGAAACUGGUAGACUUGAGUGCAGGAGAGGAGAGUGGAAUUCCAUGUGUAGCGGUGAAAUGCGUAGAUAUAUGGAGGAACACCGGUGGCGAAAGCGGCUCUCUGGCCUGUAACUGACACUGAGGCUCGAAAGCAUGGGGAGCAAACAGG